This 428-nucleotide ribosomal RNA is filed under the name uncultured bacterium. RNAcentral's name for it is "bacterial SSU rRNA". It matches the Rfam family "Bacterial small subunit ribosomal RNA", at positions 355 to 775 of the family's 1533-position model. The record is from RNAcentral.
UGGGGAAUAUUGCACAAUGGGGGAAACCCUGAUGCAGCGACGCCGCGUGGGUGAUGAAGGCCUUCGGGUUGUAAAGCCCUGUCGGCUGGGAACAAGUUAGACGUGCUCAUACCACGUUUGAUUGAGUGUACCAGCAAAGGAAGCACCGGCUAACCCUGUGCCAGCAGCCGCGGUAAUACAGGGGGUGCUAGCGUUGUUCGGAAUUACUGGGCGUAAAGGGCGCGUAGGUCGUCUCGCAAGUCAGAAGUGAAAUCCCGGAGCUUAACUCCGGAAUUGCUCCUGAUACUGCGGGGCUAGAGUGUAUUAGAGGAUGGCGGAAUUCCUAGUGUAGUGGUGAAAUACGUAGAUAUUAGGAAGAACACCGGUGGCGAAGGCGGCCAUCUGGGAUACAACUGACACUGAGGCGCGAAAGCGUGGGGAUCAAACAG